RNAcentral lists this ribosomal RNA (253 nucleotides) under uncultured bacterium. Its description in RNAcentral is "partial 16S ribosomal RNA". It matches the Rfam family "Bacterial small subunit ribosomal RNA", at positions 524 to 776 of the family's 1533-position model. The record is from RNAcentral.
UACGUAGGGGGCAAGCGUUGUCCGGAAUAAUUGGGCGUAAAGGGCGCGUAGGCGGUUAAAUAAGUCAGUUGUGAAAGUCUGGGGCUCAACUCCAGGAGUGCAGCUGAAACUGUAUAACUUGAGAGCAGGAGAGGGGAGUGGAAUUCCCGGUGUAGCGGUGGAAUGCGUAGAUAUCGGGAGGAACACCAGUGGCGAAGGCGACUCCCUGGCCUGGGACUGACGCUGAGGCGCGAAAGCGUGGGUAGCAAACAGG